This 791-nucleotide ribosomal RNA is filed under the name Coxiella sp. 64e1. RNAcentral's name for it is "bacterial SSU rRNA". It matches the Rfam family "Bacterial small subunit ribosomal RNA", at positions 68 to 742 of the family's 1533-position model. The record is from RNAcentral. Lineage: Bacteria; Pseudomonadati; Pseudomonadota; Gammaproteobacteria; Legionellales; Coxiellaceae.
CAGCGCGGUAGCUUGCUCCCUGGCGGCGAGAUGGCGGACGGGUGAGUAAUAGCGUAGGAAUCUACCUUGUAGUGGGGGAUAACCUGGGGAAACUCGGGCUAAUACCGCAUGACAGAAGACAGAAGACAGAGGACCGAAGACAGAUCAUUGUGUCGUUUCGCGACAAAUUUUCAAAAUUUGUCCGCAGUCACACACAAUCAGCUGUCUUCUGUCCUCUGUCUUCUGUCUUCUGAAAGCGGGGGAUCUUCGGACCUCGCGCUGUAAGACGAGCCUACGUCGGAUUAGCUUGUUGGUGGGGUAAUGGCCUACCAAGGCGACGAUCCGUAGCUGGUCUGAGAGGACGAUCAGCCACACUGGGACUGAGACACGGCCCAGACUCCUACGGGAGGCAGCAGUGGGGAAUAUUGGACAAUGGGGGAAACCCUGAUCCAGCAAUGCCGCGUGUGUGAAGAAGGCCUUCGGGUUGUAAAGCACUUUCGGUGGGAAAGAAAUUCUCAAGGGUAAUAUCCUUGGGCGUUGACGUUACCCACAGAAGAAGCACUGGCUAACUCUGUGCCAGCAGCCGCGGUAAUACAGAGAGUGCAAGCGUUAAUCGGAAUCACUGGGCGUAAAGCGCGCGUAGGUGGAUGUUUAAGUCGGAUGUGAAAGCCCUGGGGCUUAACCUAGGAAUUGCACCCGAUACUGGGUAUCUUGAGUAUGGUAGAGGGAAGUGGAAUUUCCGGUGUAGCGGUGAAAUGCGUAGAUAUCGGAAAGAACACCAGUGGCGAAGGCGACUUCCUGGACUAAUACUG